CCUACGGGUGGCAGCAGUGAGGAAUAUUGGUCAAUGGGCGAGAGCCUGAACCAGCCAAGUCGCGUGAGGGAGUACUGCCCUAUGGGUUGUAAACCUCUUUUGUCGGGGAGCAAAAGCCGGACGUGUUCGGCUGUGGGAGUAACCGAAGAAAAAGCAACGGCUAACUCCCUGGCAGCAGCCCCGGUAAAACGGAGGAUGCGAGCGUUAUACGGAUUUAUUGGGUUUAAAGGGGGCGCAGGCGGAUUGUUAAGUCAGCGGUUAAAACGUGGGGCUCAACCCCAUCCAGCCGUUGAAACUGGGGGUCUCGAGUGUGCGAGAAGUAUGCGGAAUGCGUGGUGUAGCGGUGAAAUGCAUAGAUAUCGCGCAGAACCCCGAUUGCGAAGGCAGCAUUCCGGUGCACAACUGACGCUCAGGCACGAAAGCGUGGGUAUCGAACAGGAUUAGAUACCCUAGUAGUC
RNAcentral lists this ribosomal RNA (458 nucleotides) under uncultured bacterium. RNAcentral's name for it is "partial 16S ribosomal RNA". It matches the Rfam family "Bacterial small subunit ribosomal RNA", at positions 338 to 795 of the family's 1533-position model. The record is from RNAcentral.